Oryctolagus cuniculus (rabbit) is the source of this 839-nucleotide non-coding RNA. The record is from RefSeq and is a predicted model, not a curated record. Lineage: Eukaryota; Metazoa; Chordata; Mammalia; Lagomorpha; Leporidae.
UCCUAGUGGAGACUGGGAGCCGGUUUCGGGUCUGUAGUUUUCUGUUAGGUCCGCGCUGGGGAACCCUCCAAAGGUUAGGGCUUUCUGUAGCCGGGAGAUGGCAGAGGAAAGGGGGCUCGUGAGGCGGCUUCUCGGCCUCCCCCCACGUCCUCCCGCAGACGCUCCCGGGCUCUGAAAUCUUGGGACUCAGUCCUCUCCCAGGGCUCGCACCGUUAGCCUUUGGCCAGCCAUCUAAAGAACAGCUAGAUGGUAAAGUCGGAAGUCGGUGUGAUCGCUGUUUCUCCUCUUCUGUCGCUUCUCAGGAAAGCUGCACCCUGCUCUCUCCGUCUGAAUCUGGGCCUUGAGGGCUUCUGUGGACCAACUGGGAACCUGCUUAGGGGUCAUCUAGUCAGACACUGGGCAACCUGGAGCCAGGAGUGGACCCAGUCGGGUGUCCAGAUCUUCACGCUUUUGUGUCUGGUCCUUCUGGUGCCAACUAUAUGUCCAAGAAACAUCAGAGCUAUGCUGUUACCCUUACAAUCCUUCACUCCUUAGCCACGUUCCGUCUUCAGACCCUGAGGUGGUGGCACCUUACACUUAGGCCUUUUAAAGCAAAAAUGCUGUUUGGGUGCCAGUGAUGUCAGUGUGGACCUCUGCAGCAGUCUAAGCCCUCAGCCUUGUGGAAUGGAAAGACUGAUGGGCUGGCUCUUUGGAUCUUUGCCUGUGGCAGACUUCUUUAGAAAAAAUCUUGAUCAAUUAAGAUUUUAAGUGAUCAAAUGGAGAUGAAAUAAAUUGUGUCUACAGAGCACAAGCAGGAGACUUAAUGUGGCUGGUGGUAAUAAAAAAGUUGUUCACAAGGU